RNAcentral lists this ribosomal RNA (580 nucleotides) under uncultured Dehalococcoides sp. Its description in RNAcentral is "bacterial SSU rRNA". It matches the Rfam family "Bacterial small subunit ribosomal RNA", at positions 338 to 1398 of the family's 1533-position model. Lineage: Bacteria; Bacillati; Chloroflexota; Dehalococcoidia; Dehalococcoidales; Dehalococcoidaceae. The record is from RNAcentral.
CCUACGGGAGGCAGCAGUAGGGAAUAUUGCCCAAUGGACGAAAGUCUGAGGCAGCAACGCCGCGUGUGCGAUGAAGGCCUUCGGGUUGUAAAGCACUUUUACGUGGGAAGAGGAAGGACGGUACCACGUGAAUAAGGAUCGGCCAACUACGUGCCAGCAGCCGCGGUAACACGUAGGAUUCGAACGUUAUCCGGAAUUACUGGGCGUAAAGCGCGUGCAGGCGGUUUAGUAAGUUGGGUGUUAAAUCUCCGGGCUCAACCCGGAGUCGUCGCCCAAUACUACUAAACUAGAGGACGGUAGAGGGAGGUGGAAUUCCGGGUGUAGCGGUGAAAUGCGUAGAUACCCGGAGGAACACCAGUGGCGAAGGCGGCCUCCUGGGCCGUACCUGACGCUCAGACGCGAAAGCUAGGGGAGCAAACGGGAUUAGAAACCCCGGUAGUCCACGCCGUAAACGAUGAGAACUAGCCGUUGGGGUCCUUGAGACUUUAGUGGCGCAGCUAACGCGAUAAGUUCUCCGCCUGGGGAGUACGGCCGCAAGGUUAAAACUCAAAUGAAUGACGGAAUCGUCGACCCGCCGGUC